Oryza sativa Japonica Group (Japanese rice) is the source of this 2336-nucleotide non-coding RNA. The record is from RefSeq and is a predicted model, not a curated record. NCBI's taxonomy places the organism in Eukaryota, Viridiplantae, Streptophyta, Magnoliopsida, Poales, Poaceae.
CGAUCCCUAGCUCCUGUGUAAAAAAAAAAGAAAAGAAACCUAGCUCCGCCUCCGCCGCCGCCGCCGCCGCCGCCGCCGCAACUCGAGCGGCGAAUCGGCGAUGCCACCCAAACUGAGGUCGUCGAAGGGGGUGGCGCCAUCCCCUUCCACCGGCGAGGGUGGAGAAAGCCACACAUCGAAAAAGAAUCCCGCUCCGGCUACGGCUCCCACCGCCGGAAGUGUUACUCGAUCUAGAGCGAGGGAUACUACUGAGCGCGCUAGAGCUAGUGGCGGGGGCACGGCACUGGAUCCGAAGAAGAGAAAGAGGACAGAAGAGUCAGCGGCGUCAUCAGCAGCGGCGGCAGGUCCGGUUCCGAAGAAGAUGACCACCGCCGGUAGUACGACCUUGGCCUCCCGGCCGCUCCCUCUUCGCUACCCGCCUUAUCCCACCUUACCACCGGGGACUCGUCCUACCAGCAGACAAUAUUUGGAUCCCGUCCUUGACAGAAAAUAUUUGGAUUCCGUUCUUGAGUGGGCCAAGGAGCGCCGCCGGAUCGCCAAACUCUCCAAGAAAGCUCAAUGUAAAGAUAUCCCCACUCUCAGGCAUUCGCCCAUGGAUCCCAUCACUGCAGAUGCCGUCGUCACAUCACAAGACAAGGCCAUGGUGCUGCGUGUGGCUCGCUCCGUUGUCAGUGUUUCAUCCACAAUGCCUGAUGGGGGUGGAUUGAUUUCCCGGUGCACUGGCGUCGUAAUCGGUUGGGAUGGGGCUAACAAACGUGCCAAGAUCCUCACUGCUGCUUCUGUUGUUUGUGACUUCCAUGGUGAAUUGCAUAACCCAGCACUCAAGCUAUCCGUCAGUAUGCCAAAUAAGACAACAACAGAAGGAAGGUUGUUGUUCUACAAUGUGCACUAUGGUAUUGCUCUUUUGGAAGUCAUGGGAGACUACAAGUUGGAGGUCCCUUCUUUUGGAUCGGGCACAAACUACGGUCAGGUCAUAUUUGCAUUGGGUAGGGGUGAAAACAUGUCUUUAAUGGUUAGCCAUGGAACAAUUUCAUGGACAGAUUACCCUGUGUUAUUGAGGAACCACAAUAUGUUUCUGAGCUGUGAUAUUCCUGAGGGUGGUUCAGGAGGGCCGGUGGUUGACCAUGGUGGCAAUAUGAUUGGGAUUGCAUUUGUAGAAAAUCCGGGUCCGGUCUUUAUCUCUAUCAAGACAAUCAUGACUUGCAUGGAGAUGUGGGAUCAGUUUAGCCGUGUUGCUCGCCCCUUGCUUGGCAUGCAAUUGAAGUCAGUGGAACUACUGGAUGUCUCCAUUCAGGAGGAACUCUGUCGUGACUAUAAUAUCACCAGUGGUUUCAUUGUGAGUCAGGUGCUCGUUGAUUCUACUGCUGAAAAGCUUGGUAUUAGACGAGGGGACGUGAUUGAUUUUCAGGAUAUUGAUUGUUCUACUUUAUCCCAGUUAGAAGACCACCUCCUUUCUCUUGGUUGGGGAUACCUGAAAGGGAUGCAUUUGACAGUCGAUCUGAAGGUUGAAGUUCAUAAUCUCUUCGACUCAUAUAGGGAAAGUAUUACUUUCCCUGUACAGUUCACUGAUGCUUCUAAGCAGGUAAACUAGAGUUGAAGAGGUGCUGCAAGGGAUUGAAGUUGCCUAGAGUAAUAUGACUGACCAAGGGGAGGGAUGUCUACUUGUGCCUUUUGGAUAAUCUGGCAACCUCAUUGUGCUUUUGGGACAAUUUGGCACGUCUUACCAGCGAUGCAACCUCAUUCCUCUAAAUGGUUGUGCUGAUAUAGUUUUGGAUGAGAUUUUGUAAAGAUAGUGUUACUGCGCCUCUUACGCUCUUAACAGAAAACCAUGCCCCUCCGUAUAUAUAGCAAGGUCAGAUUAGCGCCAUAAACUGAAUCUAAACUUUGUUUUUGAUGAACUCAGACACACACAAUCAACACAUUACAGUCGCGUGGGCCCACGAAUGUGCCCUCAACGACGUGCUGCUACUAUAUCAUCAGUAUUCAGUACUUCCUCCGUUUCACAAUGUUGAAAUUAAAGACGAAGCCGUUGAUCACACUCGAAGACUAAACAGGUGCAACCUGUGAAGAACACCAAAAGGUUGGAAGGAGACCAUCAAGACGGUGAUCCCGACGGCGACGCCCGGCCGGGAUCAAGUGGAUUGGUAAUUUUGGUGAGAUCUGAACAAGUGCAUGGUCACUUACUUUCAUCUCCAAAUGGGCGGCGUAAGAAGUAUGUACUUGGUCUUGUUCUUCACCUGUAUAUUUAUUUUUGUUGUCCAAUCAAUCUUCCACGUUUUCUGAAUAAUGAAAUCUGGGAGAUCAAUUUGCCGCGAAGAAUUAGCACUUUUAAUCAC